AGAAUCAACGCUGGCGGCGUGCCUCAGACAUGCAAGUCGAACGAGAAAGUUCCCUUCGGGGAACGAGUACAGUGGCGUCCGGGUGAGUAACACGUAGGUAAUCUACCUUCGGGUGGGGGAAUAACCCAGGGAAACUUGGGCUAAACACCGCAUAAUGCAGCGGCACCACAUGGUGACAGUUGUUAAAGCGGGGGAUUUUCGGACCUCGCGCCUGAAGAGGAGCCUGCGGCGGAUUAGCUAGGUUGGUAAGGUAACGGCUUACCAAGGCAACGAUCCGUA
This 279-nucleotide ribosomal RNA is filed under the name uncultured bacterium. RNAcentral describes it as "partial small subunit ribosomal RNA". It matches the Rfam family "Bacterial small subunit ribosomal RNA", at positions 26 to 285 of the family's 1533-position model. The record is from RNAcentral.